GUGCCAGCCGCCGCGGUAAUACCGGCAGCUCAAGUGAUGUCCCAUAUUAUUGGGCCUAAAGCGUCCGUAGCUGGGUCUGAAAGUCCAUCGGGAAAUCCACUCGCUCAACGAGUGGCCGUCCGGUGGAAACUCCACACCUUGGGACCGGAAGGCUCGAAGGGUACGUUCGGGGUAGGAGUGAAAUCCUAUAAUCCCGCACGGACCACCGAUGGCGAAAGCACCUCGAGAAAACGGAUCCGACAGUGAGGGACGAAAGCCAGGGUCUCCAACCGGAUUAGAAACCCCUGUAGUCC
RNAcentral lists this ribosomal RNA (293 nucleotides) under uncultured bacterium. RNAcentral describes it as "partial 16S ribosomal RNA". It matches the Rfam family "Archaeal small subunit ribosomal RNA", at positions 455 to 747 of the family's 1478-position model. The record is from RNAcentral.